GACGAACGCUGGCGGCGUGCUUAACACAUGCAAGUCGAACGGAAAGGCCCUGCUUUUGUGGGGUGCUCGAGUGGCGAACGGGUGAGUAACACGUGAGUAACCUGCCCCUGACUUUGGGAUAACUUCAGGAAACUGGGGCUAAUACCGGAUAGGAGCUCCUGCUGCAUGGUGGGGGCUGGAAAGUUUCGGCGGUUGGGGAUGGACUCGCGGCUUAUUAGCUUGUUGGUGUGGUAGUGGCUUACCAAGGCCUUGACGGGUGGCCGGCCUGAGCGGGUGACCGGCCACAUUGGGCCUGGGAUACGGCCCAGACUCGUACGGGAGGCAGCAGUGGGGAAUAUUGCACUAUGGGCGGAAGCCUGAUGCAGCAACGCCGCGUGCGGGAUGACGGCCUUCGGGUUGUAAACCGCUUUCGCCUGUGACGAGGCGUGAGUGACGGUAAUGGGUAAAGAAGCACCGGCUAACUACGUG
This 468-nucleotide ribosomal RNA is filed under the name uncultured bacterium. RNAcentral's name for it is "partial 16S ribosomal RNA". It matches the Rfam family "Bacterial small subunit ribosomal RNA", at positions 28 to 507 of the family's 1533-position model. The record is from RNAcentral.